AAAACAACGUGGAGGACCGAACCAGGGAUCGUUGAAAAGAUCUUGGAUGACUUGUGGGUAGGGGUGAAAUUCCAAUCGAACCUGGAGAUAGCUGGUUCUCCUCGAAAUAGCUUUAGGGCUAGCCUUAUUUUGAGCUUAACGAAGGUAGAGCACUGAAUGGGUACGGGGGCUUCACCGCCUACCAAACCUUAUCAAACUCCGAAUGUCGUUAAGCAUGAAUAGGAGUCAGACCAUGGGGGAUAAGCUUCAUGGUCAAAAGGGAAAGAGCCCAGACCGCCGUCUAAGGUCCCAAAAUCAUUGUUAAGUGGAAAAGGAUGUGAAAUCGCUUAGACAACCAGGAUGUUGGCUUAGAAGCAGCCACCAUUAAAAGAGUGCGUAAUAGCUCACUGGUCCAGGGGUUUUGCGCCGAAAAUGUAACGGGGCUCAAACAAUGUACCGAAGACGCGGAAUUACAGAUGUAAUUGGUAGAGGAGCGUUCUCAUUGGGGAGAAGCGAUACCGAGAGGAGUCGUGGACUAAUGAGAAGAGAGAAUGCCGGCAUAAGUACACGAUAAGGCAGGUGAGAAUCCUGCCCGCCGGAAGUCUAAGGGUUCCUGGGGAAGGCUCGUCCACCCAGGGUAAGUCGGGGCCUAAGGCAAGGCCGAAAGGCGUAGUCGAUGGGAAACAGGUAGAUAUUCCUGUACCACCGCUAUAUGAUGACGACGCAGUGACGCAGAAAGGUAGAGCGAGCGGCCAGUUGGUGAGCCGUUCAAGUGAGUAGGGUGUUUGGUAGGCAAAUCCGCCAAACGGAAGCCUGAGACACGAUGACGAGUGAAAAAUAGUAACGAAGUCCUUGAUCCUCCGCUGCCAAGAAAAGCUGCUAAGGAAUAUAGAGGUGCCCGUACCGCAAACCGACACAGGUAGACGAGGAGAGAAUACUAAGGCGCGCGAGAUAACUCUUGUUAAGGAACUCGGCAAAAUGAACCCGUAACUUCGGGAGAAGGGUUGCUGACCAUGGUGAGUAUGGACAAUACAGAGCUGAGGUCAGUCGCAGUGAAAAGGUCCAGGCGACUGUUUAGCAAAAACACAGGUCAUUGCAAAAUCGCAAGAUGAAGUAUAAUGGCUGACGCCUGCCCGGUGCUGGAAGGGUAAGGGGAAGAGUGCAAGCUUUGAACCGAAGCCCCAGUAAACGGCGGCCGUAACUAUAACGGUCCUAAGGUAGCGAAAUUCCUUGUCGGGUAAGUUCCGACCCGCACGAAAGGCGAAACGAUCUGGACGCUGUCUCAACAAGGGACUCGGUGAAAUUGAAAUUCCGGUAAAGAUGCCGGAUACCUGCGAUAGGACAGAAAGACCCCAUGGAGCUUUACUGUAGCCUGAUAUUGGGUUUCGGAUAUUCAUGUACAGGAUAGGUGGGAGACAAAGAAUCGAGGACGCCAGUUUUCGAGGAGUCAAUGGUGGGAUACCACCCUUAAAUGUUUGGAAUUCUAACAAGGAGUCUUGAAGCAGAUUAUUGGACAGUGUCAGGUGGGCAGUUUGACUGGGGCGGUCGCCUCCCAAAAGGUAACGGAGGCGCUCAAAGGUUCCCUCAGAACGGAUGGAAAUCGUUCGCAGAGUGCAAAGGCAGAAGGGAGCUUGACUGCGAGAGCAACAACUCGAGCAGAUAGGAAACUAGGACUUAGUGAUCCGGCGGUCGCGAGUGGAAGUGCCGUCGCUCAACGGAUAAAAGCUACCCUGGGGAUAACAG
This 1722-nucleotide ribosomal RNA is filed under the name human gut metagenome. RNAcentral describes it as "bacterial LSU rRNA". It matches the Rfam family "Bacterial large subunit ribosomal RNA", at positions 758 to 2480 of the family's 2925-position model. The record is from RNAcentral.